CUCACUAUACACAGAACAAGGCGAGUAGCGAAAAUGACAGUUAACUCCAAGAAAAGCAGAAAGCUUGCAGCAAAAGAAAAGGAUUGCGUGAGGUCAGGCUGCCAGGAUGACGCCGAGACAAGAUCGUGAUAACGGAGCUCAGGUCUCUGCCUGUGGGCCUUAGCCAGGGCCUAGCGCAGCCUCCAUGUGGAGCCGGAAGGGGCCUGAAGGGACCAUCCAAUCAACUCCUUACUAUUCAGUUGGGGAAACUGAGGCCCACAGGGAGGUGUCUUGCCCCUGUCAGAGUUAAUGACAGAGCCGGGACUAACACUUGGAUCUCCAGCCUCCCAGUCCUGGGCUUCCACCCUAUCUCAGGCCUCUGCCCCUCCUGGGUAGAUGAAAUCUCCCAUUUUUAAAAAAAGACCACUCCACCCAGGUAGGUGUCACAGCCUUCCUCACAUCCCCAAAUCGGGAUCCAACAAUUCUUCAAUCAACAACCGUUCCUGGAGAGUCCACCAUAAGCAAGUCUCCCUGGAAACACAAGCU
RNAcentral lists this long non-coding RNA (525 nucleotides) under Equus caballus (horse). RNAcentral describes it as "lncRNA (ENSECAG00000057176.1)". The record is from RNAcentral. Lineage: Eukaryota; Metazoa; Chordata; Mammalia; Perissodactyla; Equidae.